Molecule: ribosomal RNA, 473 nt
Filed under: uncultured bacterium
Lineage: Bacteria
Description: bacterial SSU rRNA
Rfam family: Bacterial small subunit ribosomal RNA
Source: RNAcentral
UCGGGAAUUUUGGGCAAUGGGCGAAAGCCUGACGCAGCAACGCCGCGUGAGUGAUGAAGGCCUUCGGGUCGUAAAGCUCUGUCGGAGGGAACGAAUGCUCCUGAAGUUAACAGCUUCAGGAGGUGACGGUACCCUCAAAGGAAGCACCGGCUAACUCUGUGCCAGCAGCCGCGGUAAUACGAAGGGAGCUAGCGUUGUUCGGAAUCACUGGGCGUAAAGCGCACGUAGGCGGAUUUGUCAGUCAGGGGUGAAAUCCCGGGGCUCAACCUCGGAACUGCCCUUGAUACAGCAAGUCUUGAGUUCGAGAGAGGUGGGUGGAAUUCCUAGUGUAGAGGUGAAAUUCGUAGAUAUUAGGAAGAACACCGGUGGCGAAGGCGGCCCACUGGCUCGAUACUGACGCUGAGGUGCGAAAGCGUGGGGAGCAAACAGGAUUAGAUACCCCCGUAGUCCCUGAGCGGGCUGGCAAGGCGCAU